This 253-nucleotide ribosomal RNA is filed under the name uncultured bacterium. RNAcentral describes it as "partial 16S ribosomal RNA". It matches the Rfam family "Bacterial small subunit ribosomal RNA", at positions 524 to 776 of the family's 1533-position model. The record is from RNAcentral.
UACGAAGGGGGCUAGCGUUGCUCGGAAUCACUGGGCGUAAAGGGUGCGUAGGCGGCUCUUUAAGUCAGGGGUGAAAUCCUGGAGCUCAACUCCAGAACUUCCUUUGAUACUGAGGAUCUUGAGUUCGGGAGAGGUGAGUGGAACUGCGAGUGUAGAGGUGAAAUUCGUAGAUAUUCGCAAGAACACCAGUGGCGAAGGCGGCUCACUGGCCCGAUACUGACGCUGAGGCACGAAAGCUAGGGGAGCAAACGGG